UGCUGAGAGCACAUGGCGGAGAGGGGACGCAGACUUAGCAACUGUGGCUAAUACAUCUUGGUCGCAAAAUAUUAGGAAAGUAUGAAUAUUUAGAUCCGACAAGUGGACUAACUUGCUCCAGGCGUCCAAAAUGGGCAUGAGAAGGAUGUGAGCAGUCCCAAAAAGACAAGUCAUCGUAAUCUUCUAAAUGAAGCUCAUCCUUUUUCCUAAGCUUGAGUCUGAGAAUUCAUCUGGGUAUCAGUCACUCACCCUGCCAAUGAGGAAUAUGUUGAAGAGGCCGUUCUGUGCGAUAAGAGCCUGCCAGUGGACAACCUGACCUUCAGUGGAUUGGACUGAAUUUGUACAGCGGUGAGGCAGAGAUCACGAGCCACUUACCUGAGAUAACAGUGACCCGCUGAACAUCAUGAGUCAUACUGACAUUGACAGCACUCACAACUGUGGCGGUGAUGUCACCUGCAAAGCUAAAUGGGUCAGAAGCAACUGAAUGUGUAAUAUACUUCUCUUAAGUAGAGACACUUUAAUCAAAAUUAGAGAUUUGGUGCUUGUAGUCCAUAUCUAUUAGCUUUGAGGCCAUCUCAUGUUAGUGUUCUAAAAGUGGACCAUAUUAACUUUGAGAAGAUUUACACAUUCACAAUUAACAGUCUUUAGUCUCUUCUUGGAAAAUGGACCAAAUCUUGCACAAUCUUGCACUCCCCAUUUUGUCCAAUAAAAUUUUCUCUAGAAUGAGAAUGUCCCUCCCUCUACCUACUUCUGACUGGCAAGUCUUUGAAGCAGUGACCUUGUGGCCAAUGCCAAAACUUCCUGUUUCAAUAGGAAAUACCUCAACACAGGAAAGAAAACUGUGCUUGUCAAGCAAAUUGAUUAGAUUUUUAAUAAAACUAAGAGCUUAAGCACAAUAUGCACAGUUUAAUACCAGUGUGACCCCAGUGGGCCGUAAUACUAACAUAUGCAUAUUAAUCUGUGACCGCGUUUGAAAUCUAUGAUAACAAUAAUGAUAAUGCCCUUAUGUUUUGAUGAUUAGGAGAAUGUACAUAUAUAACGAGAUGGCUUAAGUGCAAUACAGGCUGUUCCUCUCUUGUGCAGCGCAUUUUCUAAUGCAGCCUCAGAAAAGCACGGGUUAAUGGAAUUGCUUCAGGUCUGCUGUUGGGGAUAGAGAUGCCUUUGUUUAGAUUAAUAUGAUGGGAGAGGGUAUUAUAGGAGGGCACGGCCAAUCUGGCUAGACUGUUUCGUCAGUGGAUUCUCUCAUAAUCCUCUUUCUCUGACUGCAACCUUCACCAUGUGACAGCUUCUGUAACAGAAACCAUGAAUCUCAGGCCAAAAGACAGCUAAGGGCUUCAUGAAUUGUAAACAAACUGAAAUUCAUUAUGAAUGAUGAAAUAAAUGCUGAUGCAGGAACACAGGUCUCAGUUUGUGUGUCUACUUGUAUAUGUGAAUGGCAGUCACAAGCUCAGCA
Long non-coding RNA from Myxocyprinus asiaticus (Chinese sucker), 1453 nucleotides. RefSeq lists it as uncharacterized. The transcript is spliced from 3 exons. NCBI's taxonomy places the organism in Eukaryota, Metazoa, Chordata, Actinopteri, Cypriniformes, Catostomidae. The record is from RefSeq and is a predicted model, not a curated record.